CCUACGGGUGGCUGCAGUGGGGGAUAUUGCACAAUGGGGGAAACCCUGAUGCAGCGACGCCGCGUGUGGGAAGACGGUCUUCUGGAUUGUAAACCACUGUCCCCAGGGACGAAAAUGACGGUACCUGGGGAGGAAGCUCCGGCUAACUACGUGCCAGCAGCCGCGGUAAUACGUAGGGAGCAAGCGUUGUCCGGAAUUACUGGGUGUAAAGGGAGCGUAGGCGGGGAUGCAAGUUGGGUGUCAAAACUACCGGCUCAACCGAUAGUCGCACUCAAAACUGCAGCUCUUGAGUGAAGUAGAGGCAGGCGGAAUUCCUAGUGUAGCGGUGAAAUGCGUAGAUAUUAGGAGGAACACCAGUGGCGAAGGCGGCCUGCUGGGCUUUGACUGACGCUGAGGCUCGAAAGUGUGGGGAGCAAACAGGAUUAGAUACCCGGGUAGUC
This 440-nucleotide ribosomal RNA is filed under the name uncultured bacterium. RNAcentral describes it as "partial 16S ribosomal RNA". It matches the Rfam family "Bacterial small subunit ribosomal RNA", at positions 338 to 795 of the family's 1533-position model. The record is from RNAcentral.